CAGCAGCCGCGGUAAUACGGAGGGUGCGAGCGUUAAUCGGAAUUACUGGGCGUAAAGAGCGCGCAGGCGGUUAUUCAAGUCGAAUGUGAAAGCCCCCGGCUUAACUGGGGAGGGUCAUUCGAUACUGCUUAACUUGAAGGCAGGAGAGGGAAGUGGAAUUCCCGGUGUAGUGGUGAAAUGCGUAGAUAUCGGGAGGAACACCAGUGGCGAAGGCGACUUCUUGGCCUGUUCUUGACGCUGAGGCGCGAAAGCUGGGGGAGCAAACGGGAUUAGAUACCCCGGUAGUCCCAGCCGUAAACGAUGGACACUAGGUGUUGGUGGUAUCAACCCCGCCAGUGCCGUAGCUAACGCAUUAAGUGUCCCGCCUGGGGAGUACGGCCGCAAGGCUAAAACUCAAAGGAAUUGACGG
RNAcentral lists this ribosomal RNA (409 nucleotides) under uncultured bacterium. RNAcentral's name for it is "bacterial SSU rRNA". It matches the Rfam family "Bacterial small subunit ribosomal RNA", at positions 509 to 916 of the family's 1533-position model. The record is from RNAcentral.